UACAGAGGUCUCAAGCGUUGUUCGGAUUCAUUGGGCGUAAAGGGUGCGUAGGUGGCGCUGUAAGUCGGGUGUGAAAUUUCGGAGCUUAACUCCGAAACUGCAUUCGAUACUGCGGUGCUUGAGGACUGGAGAGGGGACUGGAAUUCAUGGUGUAGCAGUGAAAUGCGUAGAGAUCAUGAGGAAGACCAGUGGCGAAGGCGGGUCUCUGGACAGUUCCUGACACUGAGGCACGAAGGCCAGGGGAGCAAACGGG
RNAcentral lists this ribosomal RNA (253 nucleotides) under uncultured bacterium. RNAcentral describes it as "partial 16S ribosomal RNA". It matches the Rfam family "Bacterial small subunit ribosomal RNA", at positions 524 to 776 of the family's 1533-position model. The record is from RNAcentral.